RNAcentral lists this transfer RNA (361 nucleotides) under uncultured Microcystis sp. RNAcentral's name for it is "partial 16S-23S ribosomal RNA intergenic spacer". The stretch from base 136 to 209 matches the Rfam family "tRNA". Lineage: Bacteria; Bacillati; Cyanobacteriota; Cyanophyceae; Chroococcales; Microcystaceae. The record is from RNAcentral.
AAAGGGAGACCUAAUUCAGGUAAGAGACGAAAAAAAAGUAGUCGCUACCAAGAAUCAAUCCCAAAAGGUCGGAGCGAGGCGAAAUUGGCUUUCAAACUAGGUUCUGGGUUCAAACAAGACCUGAAUCAGGAACAAGGGCUAUUAGCUCAGGUGGUUAGAGCGCACCCCUGAUAAGGGUGAGGUCCCUGGUUCGAGCCCAGGAUGGCCCACCUGCACAGGUGGCAAAAACAAGAGAAGCGAGGAAUCAGCACCUUAUCUUACUGACAUAGUAAGAGAGAAUGCUGGCUCUGAGUAAAGAGUCCAGAGGAACCUUGAAAACUGCAUAGAGCUAGGUGAAAAAGCCAAAAAAGAAGACCGCAAG